GAGUGGGGUGUAAAGGAUUUUGCAACACUUCUGCAGUUGGCACAACCUUGUGACUAAGUUAACUUCCUGUUUGCAAUACUUGGCAGGAUUUCAACGUCAUCUUUCAGCCUUCCCGAAACCAAAGACAAACUCUGUACAGGAUCUGCAUUUUAUAACCUUUUGAGAACUUUCCUGCAAUGUAGGGAAUUGAAAAAUUGUAGUGUAUUUGAGAUGAAUAAAAAAAGGAUUUUGAAGUUUGUAAUAUGGACUACUUCCUCUGCAAGAGCAUCAGAAAAUAUGUGAUUUCCUCACAUGGAAUUGUAAAUAAGUUUGUAGACUACGCAGUUACAAAAUGGCUGUAGAAACUGUGGCACAUAUUUCUCUGUACACUUCGAAGUCGGAUAAAUGUGUUGAUUUGAAGGAAAGAUGGGCAGACUCUGUCUCUAAAAUCAGUCUCUCUGGGGAGAGAAAGGAGGAGGGCCCUGCUUCUAAAAUGAGACUCGCUGGGGAGAGAGAGGAGGAUUGCCCUGCCUCUAAAAUGAGUGUCUCUGGGGGACAUGAUACCAAAGCUAAGAGUCCAAUCAAUCAGGAGAGACCAGCCUCCCCUGUUCCCAGCUGUGUGUCCAUGAAGAGUGACUGGUCUAUGUUUGAACCUAUAGAGUUUAGAGAGG
Salmo salar (Atlantic salmon) is the source of this 650-nucleotide non-coding RNA. The record is from RefSeq and is a predicted model, not a curated record. NCBI's taxonomy places the organism in Eukaryota, Metazoa, Chordata, Actinopteri, Salmoniformes, Salmonidae.